GACGAACGCUGGCGGCGUGCUUAACACAUGCAAGUCGAACGGAAAGGCCCUGCUUUUGUGGGGUGCUCGAGUGGCGAACGGGUGAGUAACACGUGAGUAACCUGCCCUUGACUUUGGGAUAACUUCAGGAAACUGGGGCUAAUACCGGAUAGGAGCUCCUGCUGCAUGGUGGGGGUUGGAAAGUUUCGGCGGUUGGGGAUGGACUCGCAGUUUAUCAGCUUGUUGGUGGGGUAGUGGCUUACCAAGGUUUUGACGGGUAGCCGGCCUGAGAGGGUGACCGGCCACAUUGGGACUGAGAUACGGCCCAGACGCCUACGGGAGGCAGCAGGGGGGAAUAUUGCACAAUGGGCGGAAGCCUGAUGCAGCAACGCCGCGUGCGGGAUGACGGCCUUCUAGUUGUAAACCGCUUUCGCCUGUGACGAAGCGUGAGUGACGGUAAUGGGUAAAGAAGCACCGGCUAACUACGUG
Molecule: ribosomal RNA, 468 nt
Filed under: uncultured bacterium
Lineage: Bacteria
Description: partial 16S ribosomal RNA
Rfam family: Bacterial small subunit ribosomal RNA
Source: RNAcentral